Long non-coding RNA from Ictalurus punctatus (channel catfish), 1218 nucleotides. Lineage: Eukaryota; Metazoa; Chordata; Actinopteri; Siluriformes; Ictaluridae. The record is from Ensembl.
UUGUGAGACUAGCGUUUCCAGUUUCCAACCUUAAAGCAGUCCGUGCAGGAUUUUGCGUUCGCAGAAAUUGAAUGCAAAAUCAAGGAAACGUUACGACAGAUUUUCCAUAGAUUUGAGAUGUUGUGAUGUCAUCACAACACGCAUUCAGCCAAAGCCCUCUGCAAUUCAUGUGUGUUGAACAUGAGUACAGCUAAAAGGUCUCAUUUACCAACAAACAUCACUGCGAAAGACCUGCAAUUUCGUCAAUUUGAGUAGUUUUCCACAAAAACAAACAAACAAACAAAAAAACUCUGCAGCAAAAUCAAGUAUUUUUGGCUGCAACAAUCACAAAAAAAACCUCAGCGAAAUCCUGUACGGACUGUUAAAGGAUUUUUCUUGUUACACACUUAAAUAUAGAACAUGCAGGUUGUCUUUGGUUAUUUAUAUGAAGGACCAAGAAUGGUUUAAUUUUAGAACCUUUAACAAAAGCUCUAAAAAUGAAACUCUUGUAACCGGUUCGACUCGGUGUUAAAGUCUAGUCAGAAUUUGCCUUAUUGAUUUGCAUACAGUAUGUACUAGUUUCAGAAAAAAUAAUGGCUUAACUGUAUUAACUGUGGUCCUACGAUUACACAGGUACACAGGCAUGGUACAAAAUGUCUCAAGUUCUCAUCACUGAACAGUGUUGCCAGCUGUGUGUGUGUGUGUGUGUGUGUGUGUGUGUGUGUGUGUGUGUGUGUGUGUGUGUUUGUAUGCGUGUAUGUAUUGUGUGGGGCACAGGCUACUUUUCAAGCAUGAUGAAUGUCCAAAGAAAUGCUGACCGUUUGUUUCCUGCAGACCGUGAACGCUGAGCCAGUGACUGUAGCCCUCACAACUCAGUAGCUAUCUUUCUCACUUCACCUAGUCUCCAUCCGUAUACAUUCACUCCUUAACUUUUUUUUUUUUUGGUAUGCUAAUAUUUUUUCUUUAAUUUGUAAUUUAUACAUAUUUUUGUCCUUUUUAAAUUUUUUUUUAUUUAUUUCUUUGUAUAUAGAUCCAUUGCUACUGUAUAGGUUGUGUGCAAUUUCUUUUCUGUGUGUUUCUUGCCACUUUUGUUUUGGUCUUGGAUGGGUCUACAUUUCGUCUUCUUCCGCACGCUGUGGAUUAAGGAGCUACUGGAUUUUCUGAAUGUCAAGAGCUACAAUACUGUUAACUUGGGCUGCUAGCUGAAAUUGCCAUUAUCAUAGAUGAGGAACAUAUCCA